GUAACGAGCGCAACCCUUGUCCUUAGUUACCAGCACGUUAUGGUGGGCACUCUAAGGAGACUGCCGGUGACAAACCGGAGGAAAGGUGGGGAUGACGUCAAGUCAUCAUGGCCCUUACGGCCUGGGCUACACACGUGCUACAAUGGUCGGUACAAAGGGUUGCCAAGCCGCGAGGUGGAGCUAAUCCCAUAAAACCGAUCGUAGUCCGGAUCGCAGUCUGCAACUCGACUGCGUGAAGUCGGAAUCGCUAGUAAUCGUGAAUCAGAAUGUCACGGUGAAUACGUUCCCGGGCCUU
RNAcentral lists this ribosomal RNA (295 nucleotides) under uncultured Pseudomonas sp. RNAcentral describes it as "partial 16S ribosomal RNA". It matches the Rfam family "Bacterial small subunit ribosomal RNA", at positions 1089 to 1382 of the family's 1533-position model. The record is from RNAcentral. Lineage: Bacteria; Pseudomonadati; Pseudomonadota; Gammaproteobacteria; Pseudomonadales; Pseudomonadaceae.